UGCUUCGGCCGGGAAUCAACCCGGGCCGCCCGCGUGGCAGGCGAGCAUUCUACACUGGACCACCGAUGC
RNAcentral lists this transfer RNA (69 nucleotides) under Cordylochernes scorpioides. RNAcentral describes it as "tRNA-Gly". The record is from RNAcentral. Lineage: Eukaryota; Metazoa; Arthropoda; Arachnida; Pseudoscorpiones; Chernetidae.